UACAGAGGGUGCAAGCGUUGUUCGGAAUUACUGGGCGUAAAGCGCACGUAGGCGGACAUUUAAGUCAGGGGUGAAAUCCCGGAGCUCAACUCCGGAACUGCCUUUGAUACUGGGUGUCUUGAGUGUGGAAGAGGUGAGUGGAAUUCCGAGUGUAGAGGUGAAAUUCGUAGACAUUCGGAGGAACACCAGUGGCGAAGGCGGCUCACUGGUCCAUUACUGACGCUGAGGUGCGAAAGCGUGGGGAGCAAACAGG
This 253-nucleotide ribosomal RNA is filed under the name uncultured bacterium. RNAcentral describes it as "partial 16S ribosomal RNA". It matches the Rfam family "Bacterial small subunit ribosomal RNA", at positions 524 to 776 of the family's 1533-position model. The record is from RNAcentral.